RNAcentral lists this ribosomal RNA (253 nucleotides) under uncultured bacterium. RNAcentral describes it as "partial 16S ribosomal RNA". It matches the Rfam family "Bacterial small subunit ribosomal RNA", at positions 524 to 776 of the family's 1533-position model. The record is from RNAcentral.
UACGUAGGGUGCAAGCGUUGUCCGGAAUUAUUGGGCGUAAGGAGCUCGUAGGCGGUUCGUCGCGUCGGCUGUGAAAUCCCGAGGCUCAACCUCGGGUCUGCAGUCGAUACGGGCGGACUGGAGUUCGGCAGGGGAGACUGGAAUUCCUGGUGUAGCGGUGAAAUGCGCAGAUAUCAGGAGGAACACCGGUGGCGAAGGCGGGUCUCUGGGCCGAUACUGACGCUGAGGAGCGAAAGCGUGGGGAGCGAACAGG